GCCGGUGUGUUGGCUCGUAAUAAAGGCGGUGAGAGAACAGCUAGCUAGACGCACCCACAUUAUAUACGGCCUUUUACCUAACCAACAUUACGGCGAUGGAGCUCUUAACUCCGUUACUAGUGCCCAAAUUACCGAAGUACCCACGCCUGAUUCUCGUUGUGACUGACUGAGUGACUGUUACACCUUCAAAAUUAGGGUAAACAAUUUCAAAUAAGAGCAUGCUACAUCCUUUGAGAUAUGACUUAUCCAUUUAAAAUGAAAAGUUACUCGUUCUUCUUCAAGAUUAAUGAAAAGUUUAAAAUUUACGAUACUUAAAAUGAUAUAAAUUGAGAAUAAUUUAUACUCUCACGAUAUGGAGAAAAUAAUGAGAACUUAUAUUUUCUACCUAUGUUUGAAUCCUCUAAUACAUUAGUAAACUUGAUUUUCAAAGUUUAGAUACGGAUUUAAAUUUUUGUUAAAUUUUUACAUUAGAAUUGCGCUAUGAUAAUUUUUCCUUAAAGAAAAAGUGGACAAAGUCUAAAUUAAUUUUUUAAUCUUUUUAUUUUUUUAUAAGAUUCGAAUUCAGAUAGCUAGUAAUUGAAAUUUUUUUGAAAACUAUUGAGUUAGACUCCUAAGACCGUGCCGUCACAUAAUUAAUUUAAAAAAUUACGUCUAUUUCUAAUUAUAAAUACAAAACAUAUUUAUAAUAAUAUGUAUAUAUAUAAUACACGAAAAACAGAAUCUCUCCCAAAUCAAAGACUUGGUCCACAGGGAAAGCGCACAGUAUAAGAAACGAGAAUUUCAAAGAAAAGCACUCGCCUUCUCUCCCGCAUUGACUGCUCCACUCCAUCCAACUUUUC
This 839-nucleotide long non-coding RNA is filed under the name Citrus maxima (pomelo). Its description in RNAcentral is "long non-coding RNA (CMAX_LNC000093)". Lineage: Eukaryota; Viridiplantae; Streptophyta; Magnoliopsida; Sapindales; Rutaceae. The record is from RNAcentral.